GAUGAACGCUGGCGGCGUGCUUAACACAUGCAAGUCGAACGGGAAACAUUUUAUUGAAGCUUCGGCAGAUUUAGUUUGUUUCUAGUGGCGGACGGGUGAGUAACGCGUGGGUAACCUGCCUUAUACAGGGGGAUAACAGUUAGAAAUGGCUGCUAAUACCGCAUAAGCACACAGGGCCGCAUGGCCCGGUGUGAAAAACUCCGGUGGUAUAAGAUGGACCCGCGUCUGAUUAGCUGGUUGGUGGGGUAACGGCUCACCAAGGCGACGAUCCGUAGCUGGUUUGAGAGGACGACCAGCCACACUGGGACUGAGACACGGCCCAG
This 323-nucleotide ribosomal RNA is filed under the name uncultured bacterium. Its description in RNAcentral is "bacterial SSU rRNA". It matches the Rfam family "Bacterial small subunit ribosomal RNA", at positions 28 to 334 of the family's 1533-position model. The record is from RNAcentral.